This 873-nucleotide unclassified non-coding RNA is filed under the name Hevea brasiliensis (rubber tree). Lineage: Eukaryota; Viridiplantae; Streptophyta; Magnoliopsida; Malpighiales; Euphorbiaceae. The record is from RNAcentral.
UCAUUUUUGUGAAAAAAUGACCAUAUAAUUAAGUCUUUCCCAGCACAUUCUAUACAUUCAGAAAAUUCUAAAGCCUAUAUAUCAAGGAUGCAAAAAGUAUUUGGCUGAUGUAUAAAAUUUGACAAGUGAUGCUACAGUUACAUCAUAUGCGAUUAUUUAGAGCACUGCUGUAGUAAAAAAAAAAAAAAAGAAGUUGGGGAUGACAAAAGUGACACAGUAUGGAAGCAUGUUCAUAUGCACAUUGUUGGGAUUGAUAUUCAUCAUUUCUUGCGAGACAGUGCUGCAGCAACUCCACCAGCUAGGAGUCCAACAGCAGUAGCAGUGAUGCCUAUUCCAAUAACACCAUCUCUAGCAAUUCGAUCUUCAAUUGUCUUCUUGAGGACCAGAGCUUGCCUCCAAUCCGGUGCAACCUCCAAACAUUGAUCCACAAGUUGUCGGCUCCUUGAAAAUUCACCACUUCUGUAAUAUCCAACAGCCAGAAGAUAAACCUUCUCNNNNGGGGAGCUAACAUUGGCUAAUGAUGCUUCAAGCAUAGCAAUUCCACGCUGCACAUCUUCUGAUCGUUUGGAGUGAACGAGAGCCCAUGACCACCUCAUAAUGCUAUCACUCUUGAGUUCAUCUGAGUCACCUUUCGCAGCUUCCACAGCUUCUCUCUCGCAGCCAAGGAUGAUGUCAUGGUCGCACCAGGGGAUCUGAUCGCCGCCGGAGAAGAAGGAGCCAACGGAAUCGAAGAAGCCUCGGAUCUUUGCAUCCAUCGCUUUUGGUAUAUUGGAAGACUUGAAAGAAAAGCUUAUAUAUAUAUAUAGGUUUUGGUUGUGUUGAGUAUGCUUAGGCUAAGCUAAUGCCAAAGAAGGGCAAAGUUGAGGAAGGGAA